UGGUCAUCUUUGAUUUUGUUGAUUCGUGGCAAUGAUAUGUCACCCAAGAUAUCAAGAGCUUUCAAGUUCAAAGUCAUAUUCAAAUACAGAAUCAAGAUCUAAUUCAAACUUAGACUUUCAAGAUCUAAUUCAAACUUAGACUUUCUGGAAACACAAGUUAUACAUGAUCAUUUAUUUUUAAAAUGGCCAAUUUCAUUAUCCAUUUCAUUAAAAUUUCCAUUACAAAUACAAGAUCACAAUUCCAUACAAAUUAAAUUUUUUGCCUACAGUUGACUUUUGGUCAACUGUUGAUUUUUUGAUCAAACAGUUGACCAAAUUCAACUAAGCUAUCCUAAACCCAUUCCUACUUCAUGAUCCUUGACGACGCCCAACUUCACAUGCCAUGAUUUCACACCAAGUUGCCUUGAUUCAUGACUUGGCCGAAUCUUUAUGGCAAUACUUCAUACCAAGCCAUGAUCACUCUACCAAGGGGACAUCAUUCCUGCAGCAAAACCAACUCAGUCAAGACACAAGCAAAGCAAGAAUAAGUCAUACAACACGAUUGGACUGUCAUGCAUAUACCACACAGUAACAUUUCCUAUCUAUUGCUACUAAUCUUAGGACUCAAUCCUAAUUGUUUUGAUCACCAAUCCCCUAGCCAAUUAGCCACAUCCCAAUUAUGCUCCGGACUGGCUUCUGAUUCCUUGUAUCUAGCAUCAAUUUAACAUAUUCACUCACACACUUAUACAACCAAGAUUUAGAACACUUGCUAUUUACACACAUUCUAUGCAUACACAUAUUUCAGCAUACAUAUGUCUUUAUUACAUAAUAGGAUUCCAUAAAUCUCAAUAACAUACCCUGACAAAAUCCAAUUAACCUAAUAGUUACACUAACAGUCCAAUACAUUAAUUAACUAGUUUCAAGCUAUCACCAAUUCACUAGCAGUUGCAACAUGCGACUAGCCUAACAAUACUUUUUCCACUGAUACACCCAUAGCCAUGAGUUUUCUACUUCAAUAUUACACCAACAGGAAGCCUGCAUAACAACUUAACUGAGCCAUCAAAAUUAUUCUAACCACAACAUAACAAAUACACCAACAUAAUAACUAACUCAGUUGCGUUCAACUUCAAAUUUUCACUAACUUGAUAACACAAUUCAAACAUUUCAUAUACUAACAUGAUAGCAUUCAGUAUUAACAUACACCAAUCUAAACAUUAAUUAAUUAUCAUUCUACAUUCAUUCCAAACCUGAGGAUAACAUAACUAACAUUAACUGAAUCAACUCUUCUAACAAUUAACUAACCUACACUAACAAAAUUAACAGUUCACAAACUAACUCAAUGCUAACAUCCAAGCAUUUCAAUCUUUCACUAACACCAAUUGAUAAUUAAUUACAAUUCAAUCCAAAUAACAAUAGCAUAACUGCAGAAAAUGAAUCUAACUAACUCAGAUUUUUUCAACCUAACUUUAUUCUAACAUUCAUUUCAUUACACUAACAUUUCUAUGCUAACUCACCAAUUAACUUCACUAAUUUCAAGUUCAGUUACACUAGCUACAUUUAACCUAACUAUUUUAACAUUUCAAAUAACUGAAUUCUAAAACUCUAACUUCCAUUCAACUAACAUCAACAGAAACACUAACAGUGCCAAUCAAUUUCUAACUAACUUUCAUCUCAAUUCAACAAACUUUCUUACUGUGCCCUAACCCCAAACAAACUUCCCAAAACAUGCCUGAAUCAGUUAGAAAACCUCUCUAUAUAUUCUGACCCUCACUUUCAAUAAAAAAAACCUUCAAUUAUUCUGCAAAUUCACACAAACUCCAUUCAUUUUCUGCAAACACAUCACUCUCUCAAUUCAUCUCUCUCUGAUCUCCUUACACCAAAGCUCAAUUUCACCAUUUGUAGAGCAAGCUUCACAUUGAAGCUUGCUGCAACAAAGCUCAAUUUCACCAUUUGUAGAGCAAGCUUCACAUUGAAGCUUGCUGCAACAAAGCUCAACCUUCACUCCUCAAUCUCCUUACACCAAAGCUCAAUUUCACCAUUUGUAGAGCAAGCUUCACAUUGAAGCUUGCUGCAACAAAGCUCAACCUUCACUCCUCAAUCUCCUUACACCAAAGCUCAAUUUCACCAUUUGUAGAGCAAGCUUCACAUUGAAGCUUGCUGCAACAAAGCUCAACCUUCACUCCUCAAUUCAUAAAUCCCACAACACUAUCCUACACUCUCGCACGUAUUAACAACAACAAUCACAAGAUUCCGAUCCUACAGACUAUAUUCGAAGUAGUAGAAGAAGAAGUUUAAUGCAUAAUAGAAGACCGAAGAAUUCUAAACACACCUGUGAUUCCUCUGGUUUUCUCUUCAUAAUCUUUGUCUUCAACUUCAACAAAGUUCGAGACAAGCCAUGGUCUCACCGAUAAAUCACUCUCCACCUAUUCUUCUUGCUUCAAAUUCCUUUCCAUAAUUAGCCUCAAGGGAGGGGAAUAAAAGCCAUAUGGUUUCUGUCUCAAAUUCCCCUCCUAUCUGAUUUAAUUUCCGCUUAGGGUUCUUCUAUAUUUGGUUUCGAUUUGCAAAAGCGGAUAGAGUUAAGGUUAAUAUGAGGCGAGAUUGAUAGAGUUGAGGUUGAGAGGUUCAUUUUGGGGUGGGGGGGGNGGGGGGGGGUGGCAGUUUUGGCUCAACUCUGCCACCUCCGGUGCGGAGGAGCACAACUCCGGCGAAGGGGAGAAUUUUGAGAGAGAGAGAGAGAGAGAUGAAAACAUAACGAAAGGCGAAAUGAAUGAUACUGAUCCUUCCCUUUUUCCCUUUGGCUUGGAUUAGUGAUAUGGGCCUGAGGCCAUAAGCCCAGGAAAAUUACACAUUGAACCCUCCUUUUUUCAAGCACACCUCUCUACUGGAUGCACCAAUCUUUGUAUUGGGCUUUCUAUAAGCCCAAGCUAUAUUCCAG
This 2914-nucleotide long non-coding RNA is filed under the name Lathyrus oleraceus (garden pea). RNAcentral describes it as "Pisum sativum (pea) long non-coding RNA (PSAT_LNC031522)". The record is from RNAcentral. Lineage: Eukaryota; Viridiplantae; Streptophyta; Magnoliopsida; Fabales; Fabaceae.